Long non-coding RNA from Orcinus orca (killer whale), 3239 nucleotides. RefSeq lists it as uncharacterized. NCBI's taxonomy places the organism in Eukaryota, Metazoa, Chordata, Mammalia, Artiodactyla, Delphinidae. The record is from RefSeq and is a predicted model, not a curated record. The transcript is spliced from 3 exons.
CAGAAACAACAUAUGCUAUUAUAUAACAAUAAUUCUGCAAAUCAGCAAGCCAUGUCCUAUAUGCCUAAAGACCAGGUUCUAGACCUUGAAAUUCUGUGCUAGCAAUUUUAAAAUUUCAGUUUACUUGAGUCUGUAUCAUAACACGUAGACAUGUCCCAUUCAUUUUAUUUUAGAGACUUUCCAUGGGCAGUCCUGGCCAGAGUCCCCCACAGAAAUCCUGGGUGUAGAGCUGAGAUUUGAAGGUACAGAAAUGGGAGAGGUUGCUUUGGGUAAGAAUGUUGAGUGAGGAGAGCAGAUAUCCGAGGCCUAAGAUCUAAGUUAUUCUAAUAUUUAAAGGUUAGGAAGAAGGAUAAGGGUAGGUUUCUUAAGGUUCAUUGAUAAAGGGUGGGCAGAGAGUAGUAGUAGAAUCAGGAACAUUUCAGGAAGGGAGCAUCAAAUUUAUUGAAUGUCUAUGAGAGUUCAAGUACAAACAGUUAAAAAGCACCUAUUGGAUUUGUCAACAUGAAAUCCUAAAGGAACUUAGCAAAAGUCUCAAUAGUAUGAGGGAGGCAAGAGACAAAGUAGAGCUGGGUUGAUGGGGAAAUGGGCUGCAAAGAAGUAGAGAUAGUAUAUACAGGUAAUAUUUUCCAGAAGCUUUUCAGUAAAGGAGAGUUGAAGCAAUCCAAUCAAGAACGGAAGUUGGACAUUGUCAAUCAAAAUAAUAGUAAUAACUAAUAAAAUUUGAGUGCUAUGUUAAGCAUUUUAUAUGUGGUUUCAAUUUAAUUUAAUCCACAAAUCAACCCUAUGUAGUACAUACUAUUACUACCUCUAUUUACCUAUGAAUAAAUAGAAACACAGAGAUUAAGUAGCAUCUCUAAGGUCCAUUGCUGGGCCUUAGAGCUGGGAUUUCAUUGCAGGCAGUUCAGUUCAGUGCUUUCAUUGUUAAAUCACUACACUAUUCCAUCUUACCAUAUGAUAAUGGGCAUAUUUCGAAAGUCCAGAGUUUCUGCUAUGGCUUUGCUACCUAGGUUCUAGAUGAAUUUCACAACUCACUCAGUUUUUCUGGGCAUGUUGUCAGCAUGUACAACACACUUAUUGAUGGAUGUAUGGAAAAGAGGAAAAACUGUACAAACACAUUCCUGUUUCACAACACCUCCAUCAGUCCUGAAUAGGUUUGAAACUUAAGAACAUAUUGUCCAUGCCUCAAAAGGAACAAAUAGAUAUUUCAAGAAUUCUGAAGACUACUCUUUUUUCUGUCCCUCAGAAGGCAAGGAAAAUUACAUCUUCACAUAAAGGAAGUGACUAAUAGAGACAGAGCGUUCCAAGGGGAUCUGGCGGAAAGCGCUUAAAGUCAGACAUGAGGAAGUUCCUGAAAAGAACCUUGAGAAGCAACUGCUCUGAUCAAGAGGAGGAAAAAUGACAUAAUUGGGGUCCCCUGGGCUGAAGUGAUGUGAUCCUGGGAUGCAGUGUGGCAGGAAGAUGGAGAGCUCAGGGGUCUUCUUAAAGGACACUGAAAACUGGCGGCAGAGAAAAGCAGACCGCAUUUCUCCUUUCCACCGUACCUUUGUGGCAUACUGCUUGGAAUACAUCAGUCCAAUAAGCAAGACUGUGCUACUGUCUCACAUGGAAACCAAAGUUGGGAAGACUGAUGGUAUCAACAGCCAAGAAAUGUUAUAGUCAUUCAGGGAAACUGGAUGCAUUAACAAAAAAGCCACAGUAAAUAAAUAGAAUUGCACACAGCAAAUGGAAAAUCAUAGGAUCUACCCAAGAAAAGGUAAUUAAUUAAUUAGUUCUUGAUCAGAACCUGUUAAAUACACAUCAAUGUAGACCACUCAGCUAGAAAUUAGGUCAUGUCCCCUGUUGCAGGAAGAAAAAGCAGUUUAACUGGGUGUGGUUCUGCAGUAUGUACACUGCAGUAUAUUCCAUAGGUCUUUUUCACUUCAGGCUUGCUUUUUGUAUUGUACAGAGUAGACAGAAAUGACUGAGUAAACAGAAAAUGGCAAAUUGCACUAAGUAAUUCCAAGAUUUCACAUAUGAAUUCCACAGAAUCAAGAAAAAUUUAGCAAUAACUGGUGGAAAAUAAAAGAUUGUAUCACAGGGAAAGAUAACACAAGGUGGACAUUUCCAUUGCCCUUUAUGAAGUGAAAACUCAGUUUCUCUUGAUGGAAAAUGGCAAUUGAGUCCUGAAGACUCCUAACGUAUAAGCCAAAUAAGUUUAGUCAAUGUUGUAAGUCUAUCAGCACAGCUUUGUACGCCACCUUGAGGAGAAAGUGACGUUUAGUUAAUAAAUGUAAUUUAUACAUAUAUAUUUAAAUGUGUGUUUAUAUGUAAUAUAAAUUCAUGUUCAUGUAAAAUAUAAUUUAUUAAUCUCUUUACAUAAGCCAGGUAUCACAUGGAGUACUUUUCACUGGAUUAUCUCAUGUAUGGCUCCUAAUUUUGAGGGUGUUAUUACUUCCUCACUGUGAGGAUGAGGAAGGAGAAGUCAAUAACCUAUCCCAGUUUACACAGAGUAAGUGGUAGAGUUCAUCUGAACAUAGGCGGGCUGACUCUACUGCUCACACCGUGUCACUGUGUGACUCUUUGGAAGCCAAGUUGCAUUUGAUAAGGGCACACCAGCAACUGGCCCAAGUGCAAUUACUGUAAACGUUGAGGUGGAAGCAGAGGAAUAAGUCUGCAGGUUACUACUGACCUUGGUCAGACUUCAGCUAAUAAGAGUCCCGACUGUGGCUGUGUGUGACCGUUGGGUUGAAGAGGAAGAGGCAGACACAAGAGCUACUUAGGAGAUUGCUUGGCCAGAACUUGGCAUCCAUUAGAUGGAAAGGUAAUGGGGGAAAGAGGAGAAUCUUUAGGUUCCUGGUUAAGUGAUGAGAAAGUGUGCCCCCCAAAUACAUAAAGAUUUAGGAAAGCAGUUUGUUAAUUAUUUUCAGUAGAAAAGUGUUGUAUUUGAGGUAACUGCCCUUCUGUUGGAGAUACUCAGAAGGCAGAUAAAUACGUAGGAGUGAAACUCAAGAGAGAUUAACCCUAGAGAAAAAGAUAUUGGGAAUUGUUAGCUUGGGGGUGAGGCAGUUAUUAAAUGUGAUUAAACCCUCAAAAUUAUACAUAGAUUAGAGAAAAAGAUAGGAAAUCCAGGAGAGGAACCCUAGAAAUAACCAGCAUUUGAAGAGUUCUGCCAUGCUUCCCAAGAUCAAGGCUUGAUUUCUUCAAGAGAUUCUUUAAUAUUUGGUCUUAGUUAUUAAACAGUUUUUAUACUAAUAAAUUAU